UGAACCUGCGUGUCCAGUUCAAGUCAAAAC
RNAcentral lists this non-coding RNA (30 nucleotides) under Mus musculus (house mouse). The record is from RNAcentral. Lineage: Eukaryota; Metazoa; Chordata; Mammalia; Rodentia; Muridae.